GGCUGGGAGAGGCUGGUGUCAUGUGGGUUGUGUCUGGCUGGGAGAGGCUGGUGUCCUGUGGGGUGUGUCUGGCGUCCUGUAGGUUGUGUCUGGCUGGGAUAGGCUGGUGUCCUGUGGGUUGUGUCUGGCGUCCUGUAGGUUGUGUCUGGCUGGGAGAGGCUGAUGUCCUGUGGGUUGUGUCUGGCUGGGAGAGGCUGGUGUCAUGUGGGUUGUGUCUGGCUGGGAGAUGUGGGUGACCUGUAGGGUGUGUCUGGUGUCCUGUAGGUUGUGUCUGGCUGGGAUAGGCUGGUGCCCUGUGGGGUGUGUCUGGCGUCCUGUAGGUUGUGUCUGGCUGGGAGAGGCUGGUGUCCUGUGGGUUGUGUCUGGAUGGGAGAGGCUGGUGUCCUGUGGGUUGUGUCUGGCUGGGAGAGGCUGGUGUCCUGUGGGUUGUGUCUGGCUGGGAUAGGCUGGUGUCCUGUGGGUUGUGUCUGGUGUCCUGUAG
This is a long non-coding RNA of Oncorhynchus tshawytscha (Chinook salmon), 481 nucleotides long. The record is from Ensembl. Lineage: Eukaryota; Metazoa; Chordata; Actinopteri; Salmoniformes; Salmonidae.